CGCCGCGUGGGGAUGACGGGUUUCGGCGUUGUAAACCCCUGUUGCCCGGGACGAAACGCCUUUUCGAGAGGCUUGACGGUACCGGGUGAGGAAGCACCGGCUAACUCCGUGC
Molecule: ribosomal RNA, 112 nt
Filed under: uncultured bacterium
Lineage: Bacteria
Description: partial 16S ribosomal RNA
Rfam family: Bacterial small subunit ribosomal RNA
Source: RNAcentral